This 252-nucleotide ribosomal RNA is filed under the name Prymnesium parvum. RNAcentral's name for it is "partial Bacterial large subunit ribosomal RNA". It matches the Rfam family "Bacterial large subunit ribosomal RNA", at positions 488 to 744 of the family's 2925-position model. The record is from RNAcentral. Lineage: Eukaryota; Haptophyta; Prymnesiales; Prymnesiaceae.
UAGCGAACAAGUACCGUGAGGGAAAGGUGAAAAGCACCCCGAUGAGGGGAGUGAAAGAGACCUGAAACCGAACACCUACAAGCAGUCGGAGCCUCCUUGCGGGGUGACGGCGUACCUUUUGUAUAAUGGGUCAGCGACUUACAUUCAGUGGCGAGGUUAACCGAAUAGGGUAGCCGUAGAGAAAUCGAGUCUUAAUAGGGCGUUUAGUUGCUGGGUAUAGACCCGAAACCAGGUGAUCUAUCCAUGAGCAGG